GCUAACACAUGCAGCCGAGCGGUAGAGUCUCUUCGGGCACUUGAGAGCGGCGUACCGGGUGCGGAACACGUGUGCAACCUGCCUUUAUCAGGGGGAUAGCCUUUCGAAAGGAAGAUUAAUACCCCAUAAUAUAAUGAACGGCAUCGUUUAUUAUUGAAAACUGAGGUGGAUAGAGAUGGGCACGCGCAAGAUUAGAUAGUUGGUGAGGUAACGGCUCACCAAGUCAGUGAUCUUUAGGGGGCCUGAGAGGGUGAUCCCCCACACUGGUACUGAGACACGGACCAGACUCCUACGGGAGGCAGCAGUGAGGAAUAUUGGACAAUGGGUGAGAGCCUGAUCCAGCCAUCCCGCGUGAAGGACGACUGCCCUAUGGGUUGUAAACUUCUUUUGUACAGGGAUAAACCUAUUUACGUGUAAAUAGCUGAAGGUACUGUACGAAUAAGCACCGGCUAACUCCGUGCCAGCAGCCGCGGUAAUACGGAGGGUGCAAGCGUUAUCCGGAUUUAUUGGGUUUAAAGGGUCCGUAGGCGGAUCUGUAAGUCAGUGGUGAAAUCUCACAGCUUAACUGUGAAACUGCCAUUGAUACUGCAGGUCUUGAGUAAAGUAGAAGUGGCUGGAAUAAGUAGUGUAGCGGUGAAAUGCAUAGAUAUUACUUAGAACACCAAUUGCGAAGGCAGGUCACUAUGUUUUAACUGACGCUGAUGGACGAAAGCGUGUGGAGCGAACAGGAUUAGAUACCCUGGUAGUCCACGCCGUAAACGAUGCUAACUCCUUUUUGGGUUUUCGGAUUCAGAGACUAAGCGAAAGUGAUAAGUUUAGCCACCCUGGGGGAGUACGUUUCGCAAGGAAUGAAAACUCAGAGGCAAUUGUACGGGGGGCCCGCCACAAGCCGUUGGAUUAAUGUGGGUUUAAAUUCGAUUCAUACCGCGCAGGCAACCUUUACCAAAGGCUGUAAAUGGGGAAUUUGACAAGUGUUUAGAUAAUUAUAUUUUUUCUUUCGGACCAACUUUUUUAGUGUGCUUGUAUAGGUGUUGUCUGAUCAGCCUCCGCGGC
RNAcentral lists this ribosomal RNA (1053 nucleotides) under Chryseobacterium taihuense. Its description in RNAcentral is "bacterial SSU rRNA". It matches the Rfam family "Bacterial small subunit ribosomal RNA", at positions 46 to 1062 of the family's 1533-position model. The record is from RNAcentral. Lineage: Bacteria; Pseudomonadati; Bacteroidota; Flavobacteriia; Flavobacteriales; Weeksellaceae.